RNAcentral lists this non-coding RNA (23 nucleotides) under Cricetulus griseus (Chinese hamster). The record is from RNAcentral. Lineage: Eukaryota; Metazoa; Chordata; Mammalia; Rodentia; Cricetidae.
GGGGUGAACUGGGUGAACUCAGU